Molecule: ribosomal RNA, 440 nt
Filed under: uncultured bacterium
Lineage: Bacteria
Description: partial 16S ribosomal RNA
Rfam family: Bacterial small subunit ribosomal RNA
Source: RNAcentral
CCUACGGGAGGCUGCAGUAGGGAAUAUUGCUCAAUGGGGGAAACCCAGAAGCAGCAACGCCGCGUGGAGGAUGAAGGUUUUCGGAUUGUAAACUCCUUUUGUUAGAGAAGAUAAUGACGGUAUCUAACGAAUAAGCACCGGCUAACUCCGUGCCGGCAGCCGCGGUAAUACGGAGGGUGCAAGCGUUACUCGGAAUCACUGGGCGGAAAGAGCGCGUAGGCGGGAUAGCAAGUCAGAUGUGAAAUCCUAUGGCUUAACCAUAGAACUGCAUUUGAAACUGUUAUUCUAGAGUAUGGGAGAGGUAGGUGGAAUUCUUGGUGUAGGGGUAAAAUCCGUAGAGAUCAAGAGGAAUACUCAUUGCGAAGGCGACCUGCUAGAACAUAACUGACGCUGAUGCGCGAAAGCGUGGGGAGCAAACAGGAUUAGAUACCCCAGUAGUC